GACGAACGCUGGCGGCGUGCUUAACACAUGCAAGUCGAGCGGUAAGGCCCUUUCGGGGGUACACGAGCGGCGAACGGGUGAGUAACACGUGGGUGACCUGCCCUCAGCUCUGGGAUAAGCCUGGGAAACCGGGUCUAAUACCGGAUAUGACUCCAUGACGCAUGUUGUGGGGUGGAAAGCCUUGUGCGGCUGAGGAUGGGCCCGCGGCCUAUCAGCUUGUUGGUGGGGUGACGGCCUACCAAGGCGACGACGGGUAGCCGGCCUGAGAGGGCGACCGGCCACACUGGGACUGAGACACGGCCCAGACUCCCACGGGAGGCAGCAGUGGGGAAUCUUGCGCAAUGGGCGAAAGCCUGACGCAGCGACGCCGCGUGAGGGAUGACGGCCU
This 388-nucleotide ribosomal RNA is filed under the name uncultured bacterium. RNAcentral's name for it is "bacterial SSU rRNA". It matches the Rfam family "Bacterial small subunit ribosomal RNA", at positions 28 to 417 of the family's 1533-position model. The record is from RNAcentral.